GGUUCAUCCAUAUGGCUCCAAAUGAAAAUUACAUUACUUUGUUAUGGAUGAAGAAUAUUGCGUUGUGCAGAUAUACUGCAGUUUCCUCAUCCCCUCAUCUGUGGAUGGACAGGUUCCACAGUGUUGCCACGGAUGACCUGAUUUCAGUACCCGUGUCUGGAUGAAGAGUAUCUGGUUGUGACUGGAUACUGCAGUUUCUGGAUCUCAUCCUCUGUGGGUGGACAGGAUAGUAGAGAGCAGUUUGCAGCCUGAGACCCAUCACUAGCAAUUAAAGCCUCAUCUUCAGGCCUGAUAGAAGACGCCAAUUUAAAUAAACUGCUGCAUUCCUGAGACACAGGGCGGCAAGAAAUGAAAGCUAUUCAACUCCUCAAGACCCAGGGACUAUUGUAAAACAGGUGGGAGCAUAAGAUUGUAAGGGCCGAUUUUGAAAGAUAAAGUUGGUUCAGUUUCUCUAUACAUUAAUUAUUAAUGUCAAAGGCACACUGAUGCAAAACCAGUAAAUGGACGCCUGUGUCAGAUUAACAAGGUUUUCUUGAAGCAUUUACCAGCUCCUUAGUACAGGUUAUAAAAGGCUUAUGGAAGUUAUAUUUUAUAAUCAAGAUUACAUUUUAUAGAUUGUUUAGAAAAUUUUUAAAAACAAAUGUAAUUGGCUUCAUGCUGUUUUUAUUAGGGCUUCUUGUUUAGAAAAUUAAGUCUCCUGUCUCAAAGGAUGAAGGUUUUCACUUAAAAAAAAUCCUUGAAUU
Molecule: long non-coding RNA, 743 nt
Organism: Symphalangus syndactylus (siamang)
Lineage: Eukaryota; Metazoa; Chordata; Mammalia; Primates; Hylobatidae
Source: RefSeq, a predicted model, not a curated record